This 399-nucleotide ribosomal RNA is filed under the name uncultured bacterium. RNAcentral describes it as "bacterial SSU rRNA". It matches the Rfam family "Bacterial small subunit ribosomal RNA", at positions 60 to 451 of the family's 1533-position model. The record is from RNAcentral.
AGGUAAAUGAGAUGAAGUUUUCGGAUGGAUUCUUAUUUACCGAGUGGCGGACGGGUGAGUAACGCGUGGGUAACCUGCCUCAUACAGGGGGAUAACGAUUGGAAACGAUUGCUAAUACCGCAUAAGCGCACAGUACCGCAUGGUACGGUGUGAAAAACUCCGGUGGUAUGAGAUGGACCCGCGUCUGAUUAGCUAGUUGGUGAGGUAACGGCCCACCAAGGCAACGAUCAGUAGCCGACCUGAGAGGGUGACCGGCCACAUUGGGACUGAGACACGGCCCAGACUCCUACGGGAGGCAGCAGUGGGGGAUAUUGCACAAUGGAGGAAACUCUGAUGCAGCGACGCCGCGUGAGUGAAGAAGUAUUUCGGUAUGUAAAGCUCUAUCAACAGGGAAGAAAA